RNAcentral lists this unclassified non-coding RNA (249 nucleotides) under Hevea brasiliensis (rubber tree). The record is from RNAcentral. Lineage: Eukaryota; Viridiplantae; Streptophyta; Magnoliopsida; Malpighiales; Euphorbiaceae.
UUUUUUUUUUUUUUUCCCUCUUCUGGUGUACAUGUGAGGUGGGAUUCUAGUAUCUUUAGGAACCAUUUCGAAAUUCAAUAGGCUAGCCUUGAUUAUUCAUAGCAACAAGUCCCCUUUUCUGGUUCUUGAUAUUUUCCAUCCUCUUGCCUGGUGUUUAAAAUUUUCCUUUGUUAUUCUGUAUGUUAAGCAUGAUAUGCCCGUCCAAAUGGGAAAAUUCUUCCAAUUUUAGCAUGAAAACAACAGCCUUUU